UGUAGAGUGCUAUUUUUUAGAGAUAGAAAUUCCCUUCGGGGCUUUCUGCAAGGUGCUGCAUGGUUGUCGUCAGCUCGUGCCGUGAGGUGUCGGGUUAAGUCCCAUAACGAGCGCAACCCUUAUCGUUAGUUGCCAUCUGGUAAUGCAGGGGACUCUAGCGAAACUGCCACCGUAAGGUGAGAGGAAGGUGGGGAUGACGUCAAAUCAGCACGGCCCUUAUGUCCAGGGCUACACACGUGUUACAAUGGUCGGUACAGAGGGCAGCUACCUGGUGACAGGAUGCUAAUCUCGAAAACCGGUCUCAGUUCGGAUCGAAGUCUGCAACUCGACUUCGUGAAGCUGGAUUCGCUAGUAAUCGCGCAUCAGCUAUGGCGCGGUGAAUACGUUCCCGGGCCUU
RNAcentral lists this ribosomal RNA (397 nucleotides) under uncultured Sphingobacteriales bacterium. Its description in RNAcentral is "bacterial SSU rRNA". It matches the Rfam family "Bacterial small subunit ribosomal RNA", at positions 986 to 1382 of the family's 1533-position model. The record is from RNAcentral. Lineage: Bacteria; Pseudomonadati; Bacteroidota; Sphingobacteriia; Sphingobacteriales.